Molecule: ribosomal RNA, 468 nt
Filed under: uncultured bacterium
Lineage: Bacteria
Description: partial 16S ribosomal RNA
Rfam family: Bacterial small subunit ribosomal RNA
Source: RNAcentral
GACGAACGCUGGCGGCGGGCUUAACACAUGCAAGUCGAACGGAAAGGCCCUGCUUGUGUGUGGUUCUCGAGUGGCGAACGGGUGAGUAACACGUGAGUAACCUGCCCUUGACUUUGGGAUAACUUCAGGAAACUGGGGAUAAUACCGGAUAGGAGCGCCUGCUGCAUGGUGGGGGUUGGAAAGCUUCGGCGGAUGGGGAUGGACUCCCGGCUUAUCAGCUUGUGGGUGGGGGACUGGCUUACCAAGCCAUUGACGGGUAGCCGGCCUGGGAGGUUGAACGGGCACCAUGGGCCUGCGGUACGCACCAGUGUCCUACGGGAGGCAGCAGUGGGGAAUAUUGCACAAUGGGCGGAAGCCUGAUGCAGCAACGCCGCGUUCGGGAUGACGGCCUUCGGGUUGUAAACCGCUUUAGCCUGUGACGAAGCGUGAGUGACGGUAAUGGGUAAAGAAGCACCGGCUAACUACGUG